GCGAGUCGAAUGUCCGUAAGGACAUGGCGAACUGCUCAGUAACACGUGGACAACCUGCCCUUUGGACAGGGAUACCCCUGGGAAACUGGGACUAAUCCCUGAUAAGUCUCCGUAGCUGGAAUGCUCGGAGACGGAAAGCUCCGGCGCCACAGGAUGGGUCUGCGGCCUAUCAGGGUAGUAGUGGGUGUAGAGUACCUACUAGCCUACGACGGGUACGGGUUGUGAGAGCAAGAGCCCGGAGAUGGAUUCUGAGACACGAAUCCAGGCCCUACGGGGUGCAGCAGGCGCGAAAACUUUACAAUGCGGGACACCGCGAUAAGGGGACCUCGAGUGCUGGCAUACAAUGCUGGCUGUCCAGCUGCCUAAAUAGCAGUUGAUAGCAAGGGCCGGGCAAGACCGGUGCCAGCCGCCGCGGUAACACCGGCGGCUCGAGUGGUAACCGCUAUUAUUGGGUCUAAAGGGUCUGUAGCCUGCAGGUUAAGUCUCUUGGUAAAUCCGGCAGCUUAACUGUCGGGGUUCAGGGGAUACUGGUCUGCUCGGGACCGGGAGAGGUGAGAGGUACCUCAGGGGUAGGGGUGAAAUCUUGUAAUCCUUGAGGGACCACCAGUGGCGAAGGCGUCUCACCAGAACGGGUCCGACGGCAAGGGACGAAAGCUAGGGGCACGAACCGGAUUAGAUACCCGGGUAGUCCUAGCCGUAAACGAUACUCGCUAGGUGUCGGCCACGGUGCGACCGUGGUCGGUGCCGUAGGGAAGCCGUGAAGCGAGCCACCUGGGAAGUACGGCCGCAAGGCUGAAACUUAAAGGAAUUGGCGGGGGAGCACUACAACGGGUGGAGCCUGCGG
RNAcentral lists this ribosomal RNA (844 nucleotides) under uncultured archaeon. RNAcentral's name for it is "bacterial SSU rRNA". It matches the Rfam family "Archaeal small subunit ribosomal RNA", at positions 53 to 900 of the family's 1478-position model. The record is from RNAcentral.